This 506-nucleotide ribosomal RNA is filed under the name uncultured bacterium. Its description in RNAcentral is "partial 16S ribosomal RNA". It matches the Rfam family "Bacterial small subunit ribosomal RNA", at positions 29 to 523 of the family's 1533-position model. The record is from RNAcentral.
AGUGAACGCUGGCGGUAGGCCUAACACAUGCAAGUCGAACGGCAGCACAGGAGAGCUUGCUCUCCGGGUGGCGAGUGGCGGACGGGUGAGGAAUACAUCGGAAUCUACUUUUUCGUGGGGGAUAACGUAGGGAAACUUACGCUAAUACCGCAUACGACCUACGGGUGAAAGCAGGGGAUCAUCGGACCUUGCGCGAUUGAAUGAGCCGAUGUCGGAUUAGCUAGUUGGCGGGGUAAAGGCCCACCAAGGCGACGAUCCGUAGCUGGUCUGAGAGGAGGAUCAGCAACACUGGAACUGCGACACGGUCCAGACUCCUACGGGAGGCAGCAGUGGGGAAUAUUGGACAAGGGGCGCAAGCCUGAUCCAGCCAUACCGCGUGGGUGAAGAAGGCCUUCGGGUUGUAAAGCCCUUUUGUUGGGAAAGAAAUCCAGCUGGCUAAUACCCGGUUGGGAUGACGGUACCCAAAGAAUAAGCACCGGCUAACUUCGUGCCAGCCGCCGCGGUAA